This is a non-coding RNA of Salmo salar (Atlantic salmon), 58 nucleotides long. The record is from Rfam. Lineage: Eukaryota; Metazoa; Chordata; Actinopteri; Salmoniformes; Salmonidae.
UGGCUCAGUUGGGAGAGCAUGGUGCUUGUAACUCCAGGGUUGUGGGGUUGAUUCCCAC